RNAcentral lists this ribosomal RNA (576 nucleotides) under uncultured Vibrio sp. RNAcentral describes it as "bacterial SSU rRNA". It matches the Rfam family "Bacterial small subunit ribosomal RNA", at positions 162 to 733 of the family's 1533-position model. The record is from RNAcentral. Lineage: Bacteria; Pseudomonadati; Pseudomonadota; Gammaproteobacteria; Vibrionales; Vibrionaceae.
GCUAAUACCGCAUAAUGCCUACGGGCCAAAGAGGGGGACCUUCGGGCCUCUCGCGUCAAGAUAUGCCUAGGUGGGAUUAGCUAGUUGGUGAGGUAAUGGCUCACCAAGGCGACGAUCCCUAGCUGGUCUGAGAGGAUGAUCAGCCACACUGGAACUGAGACACGGUCCAGACUCCUACGGGAGGCAGCAGUGGGGAAUAUUGCACAAUGGGCGAAAGCCUGAUGCAGCCAUGCCGCGUGUAUGAAGAAGGCCUUCGGGUUGUAAAGUACUUUCAGUUGUGAGGAAGGGGGUGUCGUUAAUAGCGGCAUCUCUUGACGUUAGCAACAGAAGAAGCACCGGCUAACUCCGUGCCAGCAGCCGCGGUAAUACGGAGGGUGCGAGCGUUAAUCGGAAUUACUGGGCGUAAAGCGCAUGCAGGUGGUUUGUUAAGUCAGAUGUGAAAGCCCGGGGCUCAACCUCGGAAUAGCAUUUGAAACUGGCAGACUAGAGUACUGUAGAGGGGGGUAGGAUUUCAGGUGUAGCGGUGAAAUGCGUAGAGAUCUGAAGGAAUACCGGUGGCGAAGGCGGCCCCCUGGA